CUUUUAAAUAAGUAAGAGUUUGUGGUGGAUGCCUUGGGUCUGGAAGUCGAUGAAGGACGUGAUUACCUGCGAAAAGCCUCGUGGAGCUGGAUAUACGCUACGAUACGGGGAUGUCCGAAUGGGGAAACCUAGUUAGAGGAAAGUCUAACUGCUUAGCGAUGAAUCUAUAGUCGCUAUAGACGAGAGACGUUGUGAACUGAAACAUCUUAGUAGCAACAGGAAAAGAAAAUAAAUAAUGAUUCCAUCAGUAGCGGCGAGCGAAAGUGGAACAGCCCAAACCAACAUAUGUUGGGGUUGUAGGACUAUCUACAUGAAGUUACAAAAUUUUGUCAUAGCAAAAUUAGUUGGGAAACUAAAGCAUAGAGGGUGAUACUCCCGUAUGCGAAAUGGCAAAAUCUUCUGAUAGCAUCCUGAGUAGGGCGGGGCACGUGAAACCCUGUCUGAACCAGCCGGGACCAUCCGGUAAGGCUAAAUACUAACCAGACACCGAUAGUGAACUAGUA
This 503-nucleotide ribosomal RNA is filed under the name Mycoplasmopsis citelli. RNAcentral describes it as "bacterial LSU rRNA". It matches the Rfam family "Bacterial large subunit ribosomal RNA", at positions 1 to 500 of the family's 2925-position model. The record is from RNAcentral. Lineage: Bacteria; Bacillati; Mycoplasmatota; Mycoplasmoidales; Metamycoplasmataceae.